UACGAAAGCUCUAUUCUGGAAAACAGUCAGCCUUUACUUAUUGCAAUAGUGAAUGGAAUCUCACAAACUUUAUUCUCACGCUUUGUCUAAUGUGAACCUCUGUUACUGUUUUGAAUCAUAGUUCUCAAUUUUGAACCAUAUGGACUAUCAUUUUCUUCAUCUGGCUUCACUGGACGACAGUCUCCUGCUGGCGUUUCUCUGGGCUCAGAUAUAUCUGGAAACAGUGCUGAAACAGGGCUGAAAGAGGCAGGUAGCCUGAAGAUGGACGGCAUAAAGAAAUUAUGGGGUAAAGAAGGUUAUCUCCCCAAGAAGGAGAGUGGAGCUGCUGAUAAACUGGAAGCCGCACAUGCUCCUGCAGAGAGUGCAAUGAU
This 371-nucleotide long non-coding RNA is filed under the name Rattus norvegicus (Norway rat). RNAcentral's name for it is "long non-coding RNA NONRATT018568". The record is from RNAcentral. Lineage: Eukaryota; Metazoa; Chordata; Mammalia; Rodentia; Muridae.